This 301-nucleotide ribosomal RNA is filed under the name uncultured bacterium. RNAcentral's name for it is "partial 16S ribosomal RNA". It matches the Rfam family "Bacterial small subunit ribosomal RNA", at positions 509 to 807 of the family's 1533-position model. The record is from RNAcentral.
CAGCCGCCGCGGUAAUACGGAGGGUGCAAGCGUUAAUCGGAAUUACUGGGCGUAAAGCGUGCGUAGGCGGUUCGUUAAGUCUGUUGUGAAAGCCCCGGGCUCAACCUGGGAAUGGCAAUGGAUACUGGCGAGCUAGAGUGUGUCAGAGGAUGGUGGAACUCCCAGUGUAGAGGUGAAAUUCGUAGAUAUUGGGAAGAACACCAGUGGCGAAGGCGGCUCACUGGACCGACACUGACGCUGAGGCGCGAAAGCGUGGGGAGCAAACAGGAUUAGAUACCCGCGUAGUCCCUGUCUCUUAUAC